AUUGAACGCUGGCGGCAUGCUUUACACAUGCAAGUCGAACGGCAGCGCGGGCUUCGGCCUGGCGGCGAGUGGCGAACGGGUGAGUAAUACAUCGGAACGUGCCCAGCUGUGGGGGAUAGCUCGGCGAAAGCCGGAUUAAUACCGCAUACGACCUGAGGGUGAAAGCGGGGGAUCUUCGGACCUCGCGCUCUUGGAGCGGCCGAUGGCAGAUUAGCUAGUUGGUGGGGUAAAGGCCUACCAAGGCGACGAUCUGUAGCUGGUCUGAGAGGACGACCAGCCACACUGGGACUGAGACACGGCCCAGACUCCUACGGGAGGCAGCAGUGGGGAAUUCUGGACAAUGGGCGAAAGCCUGAUCCAGCAAUGCCGCGUGUGUGAUGAAGGCCUUCGGGUUGUAAAGCACUUUUGGCGGGAACGAAAAGGACUGUGCCAAUACCACGGUUCGAUGACGGUACCCGCAGAAUAAGCACCGGCUAACUACGUG
RNAcentral lists this ribosomal RNA (484 nucleotides) under uncultured bacterium. Its description in RNAcentral is "partial 16S ribosomal RNA". It matches the Rfam family "Bacterial small subunit ribosomal RNA", at positions 29 to 507 of the family's 1533-position model. The record is from RNAcentral.